GGUUAAGCGACUAAGCGUACACGGUGGAUGCCCUGGCAGUCAGAGGCGAUGAAGGACGUGCUAAUCUGCGAUAAGCGUCGGUAAGGUGAUAUGAACCGUUAUAACCGGCGAUUUCCGAAUGGGGAAACCCAGUGUGAUUCGUCACACUAUCAUUAACUGAAUCCAUAGGUUAAUGAGGCGAACCGGGGGAACUGAAACAUCUAAGUACCCCGAGGAAAAGAAAUCAACCGAGAUUCCCCCAGUAGCGGCGAGCGAACGGGGAGCAGCCCAGAGCCUGAAUCAGUGUGUGUGUUAGUGGAAGCGUCUGGAAAGGCGCGCGAUACAGGGUGACAGCCCCGUACACAAAAAUGCACAUGCUGUGAGCUCGAUGAGUAGGGCGGGACACGUGGUAUCCUGUCUGAAUAUGGGGGGACCAUCCUCCAAGGCUAAAUACUCCUGACUGACCGAUAGUGAACCAGUACCGUGAGGGAAAGGCGAAAAGAACCCCGGCGAGGGGAGUGAAAAAGAACCUGAAACCGUGUACGUACAAGCAGUGGGAGCACAGAGCAAUCUGUGUGACUGCGUACCUUUUGUAUAAUGGGUCAGCGACUUAUAUUCUGUAGCAAGGUUAACCGAAUAGGGGAGCCGAAGGGAAACCGAGUCUUAACUGGGCGUUAAGUUGCAGGGUAUAGACCCGAAACCCGGUGAUCUAGCCAUGGGCAGGUUGAAGGUUGGGUAACACUAACUGGAGGACCGAACCGACUAAUGUUGAAAAAUUAGCGGAUGACUUGUGGCUGGGGGUGAAAGGCCAAUCAAACCGGGAGAUAGCUGGUUCUCCCCGAAAGCUAUUUAGGUAGCGCCUCGUGAAUUCAUCUCCGGGGGUAGAGCACUGUUUCGGCAAGGGGGUCAUCCCGACUUACCAACCCGAUGCAAACUGCGAAUACCGGAGAAUGUUAUCACGGGAGACACACGGCGGGUGCUAACGUCCGUCGUGAAGAGGGAAACAACCCAGACCGCCAGCUAAGGUCCCAAAGUCAUGGUUAAGUGGGAAACGAUGUGGGAAGGCCCAGACAGCCAGGAUGUUGGCUUAGAAGCAGCCAUCAUUUAAAGAAAGCGUAAUAGCUCACUGGUCGAGUCGGCCUGCGCGGAAGAUGUAACGGGGCUAAACCAUGCACCGAAGCUGCGGCAGCGACACUGUGUGUUGUUGGGUAGGGGAGCGUUCUGUAAGCCUGCGAAGGUGUGCUGUGAGGCAUGCUGGAGGUAUCAGAAGUGCGAAUGCUGACAUAAGUAACGAUAAAGCGGGUGAAAAGCCCGCUCGCCGGAAGACCAAGGGUUCCUGUCCAACGUUAAUCGGGGCAGGGUGAGUCGACCCCUAAGGCGAGGCCGAAAGGCGUAGUCGAUGGGAAACAGGUUAAUAUUCCUGUACUUGGUGUUACUGCGAAGGGGGGACGGAGAAGGCUAUGUUGGCCGGGCGACGGUUGUCCCGGUUUAAGCGUGUAGGCUGGUUUUCCAGGCAAAUCCGGAAAAUCAAGGCUGAGGCGUGAUGACGAGGCACUACGGUGCUGAAGCAACAAAUGCCCUGCUUCCAGGAAAAGCCUCUAAGCAUCAGGUAACAUCAAAUCGUACCCCAAACCGACACAGGUGGUCAGGUAGAGAAUACCAAGGCGCUUGAGAGAACUCGGGUGAAGGAACUAGGCAAAAUGGUGCCGUAACUUCGGGAGAAGGCACGCUGAUAUGUAGGUGAAGUCCCUCGCGGAUGGAGCUGAAAUCAGUCGAAGAUACCAGCUGGCUGCAACUGUUUAUUAAAAACACAGCACUGUGCAAACACGAAAGUGGACGUAUACGGUGUGACGCCUGCCCGGUGCCGGAAGGUUAAUUGAUGGGGUUAGCGCAAGCGAAGCUCUUGAUCGAAGCCCCGGUAAACGGCGGCCGUAACUAUAACGGUCCUAAGGUAGCGAAAUUCCUUGUCGGGUAAGUUCCGACCUGCACGAAUGGCGUAAUGAUGGCCAGGCUGUCUCCACCCGAGACUCAGUGAAAUUGAACUCGCUGUGAAGAUGCAGUGUACCCGCGGCAAGACGGAAAGACCCCGUGAACCUUUACUAUAGCUUGACACUGAACAUUGAGCCUUGAUGUGUAGGAUAGGUGGGAGGCUUUGAAGUGUGGACGCCAGUCUGCAUGGAGCCGACCUUGAAAUACCACCCUUUAAUGUUUGAUGUUCUAACGUUGACCCGUAAUCCGGGUUGCGGACAGUGUCUGGUGGGUAGUUUGACUGGGGCGGUCUCCUCCUAAAGAGUAACGGAGGAGCACGAAGGUUGGCUAAUCCUGGUCGGACAUCAGGAGGUUAGUGCAAUGGCAUAAGCCAGCUUGACUGCGAGCGUGACGGCGCGAGCAGGUGCGAAAGCAGGUCAUAGUGAUCCGGUGGUUCUGAAUGGAAGGGCCAUCGCUCAACGGAUAAAAGGUACUCCGGGGAUAACAGGCUGAUACCGCCCAAGAGUUCAUAUCGACGGCGGUGUUUGGCACCUCGAUGUCGGCUCAUCACAUCCUGGGGCUGAAGUAGGUCCCAAGGGUAUGGCUGUUCGCCAUUUAAAGUGGUACGCGAGCUGGGUUUAGAACGUCGUGAGACAGUUCGGUCCCUAUCUGCCGUGGGCGCUGGAGAACUGAGGGGGGCUGCUCCUAGUACGAGAGGACCGGAGUGGACGCAUCACUGGUGUUCGGGUUGUCAUGCCAAUGGCACUGCCCGGUAGCUAAAUGCGGAAGAGAUAAGUGCUGAAAGCAUCUAAGCACGAAACUUGCCCCGAGAUGAGUUCUCCCUGACUCCUUGAGAGUCCUGAAGGAACGUUGAAGACGACGACGUUGAUAGGCCGGGUGUGUAAGCGCAGCGAUGCGUUGAGCUAACCGGUACUAAUGAACCGUGAGGCUUAACCUU
Molecule: ribosomal RNA, 2905 nt
Filed under: Escherichia coli
Lineage: Bacteria; Pseudomonadati; Pseudomonadota; Gammaproteobacteria; Enterobacterales; Enterobacteriaceae
Description: 23S ribosomal RNA
Rfam family: Bacterial large subunit ribosomal RNA
Source: RNAcentral